GACGAACGCUGGCGGCGUGCUUAACACAUGCAAGUCGAACGGAAAGGCCUCUUUCGGGGGGUACUCGAGUGGCGAACGGGUGAGUAACACGUGGGUAACCUUCCCUUUACUUUGGGAUAACUUCAGGAGACUGGGGCUAAUACCGGAUAGAAGCUCCUGCUGCAUGGUGGGGGUUGGAAAGUUUCGGUGGUUGGGGGUGGACUCGCGGCUUAUCAGCUUGUUGGUAGGUUGUUGGCUAACCAAGGGUUUGGCGGGGAGCCGGCCUGAGAGGGUGACACGCCACAUUGGGUCCGAGGUAAGGCCCAGAUUGCUACGGGGCGCAGCUGUGGGGAAGAUUGCACAAUGGGUGGAAGCCUGAUGAAGCAGCGCCGUGUGCGGGAUGACGGUCUUCGGGGUGUAAACCGCUUUCGCUCAUGACGAAGCAUUGUGUGACGGUAGUGAGUAAAGAAGCACCGGCUAACUACGUG
Molecule: ribosomal RNA, 467 nt
Filed under: uncultured bacterium
Lineage: Bacteria
Description: partial 16S ribosomal RNA
Rfam family: Bacterial small subunit ribosomal RNA
Source: RNAcentral